Molecule: transfer RNA, 68 nt
Filed under: Myotis brandtii (Brandt's bat)
Lineage: Eukaryota; Metazoa; Chordata; Mammalia; Chiroptera; Vespertilionidae
Rfam family: tRNA
About the family: Transfer RNA (tRNA) molecules are approximately 80 nucleotides in length. Their secondary structure includes four short double-helical elements and three loops (D, anti-codon, and T loops).
Source: Rfam by way of RNAcentral
UGGCCGGUUGCUCAGUGGUUAGAGUGUUGGCUGCAGACCAAAAGGUCAGAGGUUCAAUUCCCGGUCAA